This 180-nucleotide ribosomal RNA is filed under the name uncultured bacterium. Its description in RNAcentral is "partial 16S ribosomal RNA". It matches the Rfam family "Bacterial small subunit ribosomal RNA", at positions 338 to 515 of the family's 1533-position model. The record is from RNAcentral.
CCUACGGGAGGCAGCAGUGAGGAAUAUUGGUCAAUGGACGAGAGUCUGAACCAGCCAAGUAGCGUGCAGGAUGACGGCCCUAUGGGUUGUAAACUGCUUUUAUAAGGGAAUAAAGUGAGUCUCGUGAGACUUUUUGCAUGUACCUUAUGAAUAAGGACCGGCUAAUUCCGUGCCAGCAGC